This 766-nucleotide ribosomal RNA is filed under the name Fervidobacterium changbaicum. RNAcentral describes it as "bacterial SSU rRNA". It matches the Rfam family "Bacterial small subunit ribosomal RNA", at positions 769 to 1533 of the family's 1533-position model. Lineage: Bacteria; Thermotogati; Thermotogota; Thermotogae; Thermotogales; Fervidobacteriaceae. The record is from RNAcentral.
CGAACCGGAUUAGAUACCCGGGUAGUCCUAGCCGUAAACGAUGCUCACUAGGUGUGGGGACGGAAGUCUCCGUGCUGAAGCGAACGCGAUAAGUGAGCCGCCUGGGGAGUACGCCCGCAAGGGUGAAACUCAAAGGAAUUGACGGGGGCCCGCACAAGCGGUGGAGCGUGUGGUUUAAUUGGAAGCUAAGCCAAGAACCUUACCAGGGCUUGACAUGCUGGUGGUACCGAGCCGAAAGGUGAGGGACCCUGCCGUAAGGUAGGGAGCCAGCACAGGUGGUGCACGGUCGUCGUCAGCUCGUGCCGUGAGGUGUUGGGUUAAGUCCCGCAACGAGCGCAACCCCUGCCCUUAGUUGCCAGCGGUAAGGCCGGGCACUCUAAGGGGACUGCCGGCGACGAGCCGGAGGAAGGAGGGGAUGACGUCAGAUACUCGUGCCCCUUAUGUCCUGGGCGACACACGCGCUACAAUGGGAUGGACAGCGGGAAGCGAGGCAGCGAUGCUGAGCAAAACCCUGAAACCAUCCCCCAGUUCAGAUUGUGGGCUGAAACCCGCCCACAUGAAGCCGGAAUCGCUAGUAAUCGCGGAUCAGCCACGCCGCGGUGAAUACGUUCCCGGGCCUUGUACACACCGCCCGUCAAGCCACCCGAGUCGCGGGCACCCGAAGACGGUGACCCUUAGGGGCGCCGUUGAGGGUGAACGUGGUGAGGGGGGCUAAGUCGUAACAAGGUAGGUGUACCGGAAGGUGCGCCUGGAUCACCUCCUUUCU